UGAGUCAGAGAGUUAGAGCAAAAACUUCCGAAAUAUGGGAAUAUUUCAGGCGAAAUGGUAAAAGAGUUGUCUGUACACUCUGUCAAACUUCACUUGGAAACACACAGGAGUUGUUCAAGACGUUUGGAGCGGUUUUUUUCUCUCCUCCAUGUCUCCUCCGGGGCUCCAAAGAUGCGCUCACAGAAAAGAAGAAGUCAACAAAGCAGUCCGCCGUCUUCACAACUCUGAGACAAACUGUAGCAGGUGCUACGAACCGGAGCAAGGACUAACCUCACCUCAUAAUGAGGCCGUGACCUAUAUUUGCUCGGAGCUGUCUGCAAGUCCAGAUUUAAUAUGACGCUGAUAAUGACGCCAUUGUGUCUGCCUGUAAGACAUGACGAGACAGCACGCAGGAGCGGG
Long non-coding RNA from Perca flavescens (yellow perch), 399 nucleotides. RefSeq lists it as uncharacterized. The transcript has 4 exons. Lineage: Eukaryota; Metazoa; Chordata; Actinopteri; Perciformes; Percidae. The record is from RefSeq and is a predicted model, not a curated record.